UGCGGGGUUUCUCUCGGUCCUUCGCACCCUUGCGGCUGCGUACAAUUUCCACAAUCGCGUAGAGAGAGAGAGGUGGGUUUUUUUCGCUAGGUUAGGGGCUGGCGACGGCGAAGAUAACGAUGAUAAGCCCCCAAGAGCGGUCAUCCUACGGCCCUCAUCGUGCUAAUCUCAGCCAUGGUGCCAGUAGUAUCCGUGGCAGAAAAAACUGGAUUGGGCGGUUUUGGAAAGUACGGGCUGAGUUUUCAUAGCUUACGCGGCCUCCGUCUCAAGCUUUGAGCUUCCAAAUCGAAAGCUUUCACGGUUUGAGCUGGAAAAAUAUGGAUCUAUAGUUCCUGACUCGUGGCUUUUCUUUGAGGUCGAGUUGGUUUCUAUUAGACGGCCAAUGUAAGGAAUUUACAGUCCACAAGGUAUUCGUCAACUGGUUUGUACUUAGAGAUGUCGUCUUUGUUCCUAAAUUUCUGCUGGAUAUGAUUAUAUAUGCUUUGGUUAUAUGAAUGGUUGUAGUAAAUUUUCAUAUACACACACACGUGUGUGUGUCAUGCAAAGAGGAAGUCACCUGGAUGAUUGCUUGAGCGGUAUACUUUCUCUUUCAUUCUUUCAUAAUCAACUCUUUUUUCCUAACCAAUAGCUCUAAACUUACAACAUAAGGCUCAUCUCUUAAGUUAUAUAGCUUUCCUUUGUACUUGCAUUCAUGUAUACAUACAAACAAAAUCCAGCACUUGCUACUCUUGACUCUGUCUUCCGUUGCUUGCAGUUUUCUCCUCAACUUGUUUCUUUGGUGGAAGCUGAUCGAACACAUCAUCAGCAUCAUACAAAGCAUCUUUGAGUUGCCAUAGUCAUUCGUUCAGUCCUCCAAUGAUCUUUUGCUACCCACUCUCCGCUAUCUCCACAACAACUUUGAUAUGAGGAAGAGCUUUUUUGUGCCUCUCAAGCUUAUCUUUCAUCCCACUAUCCUGAGCAAAAUACUUAUUUGCUAAACAGUUUAACCCAAUCCCCACCAUCUUCUCGAUAAUAAUGGUCACUCUGACCACCACUAUAUUGAUAUCAUAUUGAGCAUGGUAUCUUGCUUAUUAGCAGCAGAUGUAAAUUCGGCAAGUUUGAUUGCAGAUAGCGGUAGAUGAACAAAUUUUCAAAACCAACCCCUUUCACUAUUUAUUUUUAAAAAACGUUCGCUUUUGCAAAAAAUUUU
Asparagus officinalis (garden asparagus) is the source of this 1189-nucleotide long non-coding RNA. RefSeq lists it as uncharacterized. The record is from RefSeq and is a predicted model, not a curated record. The transcript is spliced from 3 exons. NCBI's taxonomy places the organism in Eukaryota, Viridiplantae, Streptophyta, Magnoliopsida, Asparagales, Asparagaceae.